GCCAAGUACGGCAACUCGCCCCAUUUCGAAAUGGGACGGAGAAAUCAAAUCCCAUUUCCUGUCCUUUAUUUCUUAAAAAAAAAAAAAUAAAGAAACUGUCCACGGCAGUGGUGGGGAGUUGAUUUGAUGCUCCUCACCACCCGCAGAAUUGCAGCAGCUGCGUUUCCUGCAGCAGGGGUAUUUCUGAAGAAACCAGCGAAAUUCGGAGAUAGCGAUCGAAAGCAGCUCCCCGUGCCCCUAAGCAAGGGGGGGAAGUUCUGGUUUGGGGGGCUCGGGGAAGGGUUGUUUCUCGGUGGGGAGGUGGCACCUCUCCAAGUCCCGUUUCCCUUCCAGGUGGGUUUGCAGCUGGGCACGGGGGGGGGAUGUUCCCGCUGCCUCACCCUGGGGACGAGCCAGGGUCGCGCAGCCACCGCCGGCUCUGCGCCAAAUAAAGCCAACGCCUUCGCCUGCCUGCCUUCCCCCCCCCUUCCGCGUUUAUUCUUUUUUUUUUUUUUUUUUUUUCAAAGAACCCCUGAAAUUCCCCCGUGGUGUCACGGAAAGAGAGCGGUGGUAACCGUCACUGGCAGAGCUCUCCUCGCUCACAAGCCCCAAAUGUCAAAGGCGGGGGAGAAGACGUUUGUGCUCAGGGAGGGGGGAAAAAAGAAAAGAAAAAAAGGAAAAAAAGCAAAGUCAGAUCUAGCUGGGGAGGAGAGGGGUGUGAGGAAGGGGAGGGAGGUGAGAAGGGGCUGACACGGUCCCUCUCCGCUUCCAGCGAAGCGGGAGCGGCUCUUCCUCAUCCCACUCUCUUCCUCGCCGCUUUGCUGGGACCCCCCCCCGGCUCACCCCCCCCCCCCCCCCGCAUCCCCCCGCACCCUGCGGGGCAGCCCCGGGACCUGCCGACCUCCCCCUGCCCCUCGCUCAACGCCCCCAGGGCUCGGGCAGCCCCCCCCGGGGGGGGUGGGUGCCGAGGACGGGCGGCGGAGCCCCCUCCGUUCCCAAAAAUGGCUCUCUGCGUGGGCAAGCCCACAGAAAUGGGCUCGAAAAGCCCGAUUUGGGGGAAACCUGUGGAGGGAACGGACGUGACCUGCGCCUGAGAGCGGAGCUGAAGGAUCAGCAGCCGCAGUUAACACCAGUCACUUCCACCGAGAUUUUGGUGCUUUUAUUUAUUUAUUUUUUUUUUUUUUUCGGGCUGGAAACUUUUUUUGGGUGUGCCUAGAGCUGCGUAAUUUCGUAAUUAUUUUUUCAGACACCGUUGUCUAUAUCCAGCCUGUGCGACCAGGUUGUUAAAGACUGGAUGAUUUUUUGCUCAUUACCAACUGGAUCUCUGCAAGGUUUAAUUAAGCCCCGUCCGCCUCGUCACGUUUCUUUUCCCGAACAAACUAAGUUCUCUGCUCGGGACUGCUCUGUAUUGCGGGACCGAAAAGAUGGGAGAACUGAAGGAACAGAGUUGUGAAGUAAUCUGCUCAAAGCCGUGAAGGAGGCCAGUGACAAAUCCAGGAGUAGAAGCCAAGUCUCCUAAAUUGCAGCCUAAUGCCAUCUAAUACUGUAAUCAACAAGAAAGUUUGCCUUCUGAUGUUACAAUGAGGAUGAACCCCCAAGGCAUGGCUGCAAUGGUUGUUUGAAACAAGAAACAGAUACCCUCUUGGUGUCAUUCAUUUCACUGAUCACUGGGAAUCUGAGCCUGCACAAAGGUGGAGGAAGACUCCUACAGAGAGCUGGGAACGGUUUGUCCCUUAAGAAGGGUAUAAUGGCAUUUUUAAUGUUUUUACCAAAUACCAGGGCAUGUGAUAAAAGUUUAUGGAUCAGGAAUUAAUUGAAAGAUUGUGAAAUGGGAAAGAAUGCGCAUUGCGGGAAGCCUUGGAGAGCUACAACCUAAGCACCCUGAAAUUUGCGACCAAGCCCACAGAAUAUCUCUGGAGUUAUUGGAACCAUCUCAGAUGACUGUUAUUUUUUAUAUAAUUUACCAGCCCCAGUAAGGUCCCACAGCCAGAUUGGGAAAAGACGUUCCUUUUAUUAAUGUUCGUCCAGGGAACUAAAGUGUAUUCUGGGUAAUGAAACAUCUAGUUUAUGGAAUUAGCUACAGAACUCAGAUUUUUAAAAAAAAAAGGCAGCAUGAAUUUGUACCUGGGAGGUGGUACAUGUUUUAAAAAAUGCUGUUCAAAAGACAAUGUGCUUAUAUCUAAGGUCUGUUACCUGCAACAUCAAAGUUUACAGUUUUAUAUGUAUGAAAUAACACAACUGUAUGAUGAAACGUGAAAUGUAUAAUUAAACUAAUGUCUAUAAGUAUAGAACUAUGUAAAUAUUAUCUAAAUCAUAUGUGUAAGCAUUAAAUAAACUAUUUCAUUUCUAGAGGUUACAGAAAACACUUCAAAAUUUUAUACAGUCCUUCCACCCCCCCAAAUUUUUAAUAUAAUUGCAGUUUUAGAACUGAUCUGUCUAUUCAUUUUUUAAUAUUUGCAGUCGCGUUAAAUUUUACUGAGGAACAAUUUAGUUUGGGGAAACGGUUACACUUUAUCCCAACUGUGGUUUGUGUUGUUUGAACAAGAAGUCCCUGAGUAUUUGUCCCAAAUACCAGUAUUUUUACUCCACUGGCAGCUGUGUAUUUGUGGUCAUCCUACAGCAAUGUGUGCAAAGAAUGUACACAGUGGCAGUGCCUCUUCCAGAGAGUACCAGGAGCAAAACUGGAUGUGGUCAACCCGCACAUAAUUUGCUCUUCUUAGUGGAGGUCGCACGUAGACAGCACUUAAACGACACUUUUAGUUUCUGGAUAAGAUGAAGGUAAGGGAUAGAAACCAUUCGAAAGCCAUUGCUUAUGUUCCCUGAAAUGGGCUGAAAAGAACAGCUCUUCUGAGACAUAGCUUUACACUGAACAUAUGCAGAGCUGUGUCAUUAUUAAUUCUGAAAAUGUGUUUACAAUGGUUAGGUAAAAUAUUUGGUUACUAUUUAAAUAUUUUGAUGUAUUAUAGCUCAUACACGGAUUUUAGAUGUCUACUGCACUUAACAGUUCCAAUUUAAAUAACUGGUUUCGUUAAGAUUUUUAGUGAUACAAAUUAAUAACAAAAGGCAGUUAAUACAGAGUGCAGUUAUGAGACCAAAAUACAUGUGGUUUAAAUUUAAAGAAUUAAAUGUUAGCAUUUCCCUAUAGAGAAAGGUUAUUUGGGCAGUGGUGUACUGACAUUAUCACCACCCACGGAGAAGGGGACCUGUUGAUCCUAUUGGUUAAGCAGAAAUUCAAAAAAGGAAAAAAUGUAGGUCUAGAGGGUUUGCUUGGUGUAAGUGAAUCACACAGGAAAAAUGCUGAUACCCAGAGUCAUCGUAGUGACCUUCUUUGAUGGUUAGAAAGAGAAAUAAGCUCGCGAUAUUUUUGUCAAGUUAGAGGGUUUAGGUUGCUUGCUAGGUAAAAUUGGUCUUGGUUAUUAAUAUAGUGGAAAGCUAAAUGAUGACCAUGGAAAUAUGAUAAUAAGUGCUCUUGCAAAUUAGAUAGGAAUGAUUUUCUGCGGCCAUUAAGAAUGGUAAUCCAAUGUGUUAACCGUUGGGCUGAAGGGCUGCUAAGAAAAUAAAUGUGGCAAGAGGAUAAAAUAAAAGUAUGUUUAAGUAGGUGUUUCUUCAAAGCUUCCUUCAGGAAGGUGUUUCUGGACACUACCAUACUGCUUCUGACAAAUUGUGUCUGUUAAGAUAAAGGUAAGCAAACAGCAUUCAUUUAGCAGUAAGUAGUGCUGUCUGUACCUCUGGAUUCCUGUUUUAGCAAACCUUUAUAAUAAUUUUAUUGGACCUAGCUAGAAACAAAUCUACUAAAAAUAACAAUUACUGAUUUGCCACUAUUUAAUGUUAGUUUAAUCUGACAACUCUGGGAUGGCUUUGCCUGUUAUUCCUGGAAGAAACUACAUAAGAUUGGGUGGUUUUGAGUAGUUUUAUCCAGACGUGGGACUGCACAGAAAAGUCAGGUCUCAACAUCGCUGCACGUAGGGAAAGCUUGUCUCUGACCCUCGCCCUGACAGCUCGGACACGGGCUGAGCUACACCCCAGGCUACUGGUACUCUGCACUUUGGCUUUUGAAAUUUUCUGGGUGAGAUAUAGUUUCAACAUGAAAAGUCAAAAUAUGGUGGUUUACAAUCAGUUUUGCUUUGUUUGAAGCUAAAACUCAAAGCAAAACUCCCGAGGCAUAGAACUGUACGAAGCAAAACAUCAGAAAGUUAACACAAAAACACUGCAAACUGAACAAGCUAGUUUCACUCAGCUCUUGAAAUAACCCCUUUUUGCAAGUUCACUUUUCAAUUGCAGAUGUGCGAGAUGUCAAAAAUGAGUUGGUUUCACUACCCCGUGGCACAGAUGAAUGCCGCAGCUCUAAAGCAUCACCCUCCGUCUGAGCAAGGUCUCCCUCUCUGUCUCGGCUGAUACUUUAGAUAUCUGCCAAGGGAUGCAAUUUUCUCAGCCCCAGGCUAGUAACAUUUACCUUUCGUUCAUCUGUAAAACAAGGGAUUUGGGGUAAGAGCCAAAACCCAGCCCGUAUGUUUUUUAUAGUUGUAUCCAGCUCUGAACUCAUUUCCCAAAUCUCUAACAAUGCUCUAAAUGGCACCCAGUCCCAAAAUGGCAGGAGUCACUUCACCUCUGUGAGGUCAUCUGAGGAUUCAUGUGUUUCAAGUUUUCUUGAUUUUCUGGUAUUUUCGGGACGCUGAACACCUGCUGCUCUUCCUCGCUGGCACAGAGCUGCAGGUGCUCAUGCCCUUGUGAAGAUCAGACCCCUCCUCCCAAGGCACUCUUAUUUAUGGUGAAGCAACGAACAACCCUCUGCUCUGCUUUUGCUUUUUGUAAUUUUAGUGCAACUGGCUUGAAACGAACCUAUGAACUGCACCGAGACAGAGAUAAUUUUAGUUGGUGAGUGUGUAUGAGUUCAGACUGGUCAGGGCUCCUUUGUUUGCUGGGCAGCCGAUCCCUUUUCUUUCCCCCCAAAAUAUUGAGGGACUGAACUCCUGAGCUUCCAAAAUUAUUACUGACGGAGAAGCAAGGUGUCAGCAGCAGUGGGGCUAAGUGAGUCACCUUCUAGAUGUAGAUCUCAGACUUUAGCAACUUUGUCGAGAAGAACUAGAGUGAUGUUCAGAAUAAUAAUAAUAAAAAAGAAUAUCAGACAAUCAGUGAUCUUGUGUGCAUAUAAUUUGCUUAUUCGUAUGUCAAAUUUUCGUGGUGAAAUGGUACCUAGGAAAGUGCAGAGUGCAAGGGGAAUGGCUGACUUUGAAGGUUUAAGGAUAUCUUGAAAUACAGCUCACAGACCGAGUUACACGAGGAUUAUUGAGAGUGGAAUUUACAAUAUAAUGGCUCACCUCUGCACAAGAGUGAAUUUUAUACGGUGUGAGCCUAUGUUACUGAAAAACACCAUUGGGCUGUUGGUGGAACGCAAAUAUUAUGUGACUCUGAAUCUCACUUGGUAUUUUAAACCAUGAGAGUUUCAGAUUUGAGUCAUAGUAACUUGUAAGUAGGGUAUGUAUAUGCAUAUAGAGCACACAAGCUGUAAGCAAGGCUUCUGCCUUGGGGUUAUUUUCUCCUCAAAUUGCAGAUUUGGUUCUCUGUUAUUGCAAAUCAUUAUAGCCUCAAUGAAAAGUCAGAAGUCAGAUUAGGUGCUUCCCAAUUUUUAAAAGAAACAUGAACUAGAAACCUUUACAGUCUUCUAUUUUCUUCUCUGUUUGGCACUUUGAUUUUCAGAACCCUUGGUCCAAGAAAUCAUGUUACACCUCUCUUACACCUCUGCUUCUCCACGGUGCUUCCUACGUGGAACUGGCAUCGGAAUUUGUCCAACCUCUAAUUUACCCCAUCAGAGCACUCAGCAGCAUCUAAUCUUUCAUUAGAGUCAGAAACUUGGCUAGCACUGCUCAAAGAGCACCUUUAACCCGAGAUCUUCACUGGAGAACUCCUCUAGUCAGAGCAAGAGCUGGAGAAGACAGCACACGAGUGCCUGCUAGCAGCCCCGGAGGCACGUGUGGGAAAAAGUUCUGUUUCUUCUCUUUUUUUUCAUGUUUUAAUUCAGCACUUUGACUUAAAAUAUGCAUCUAGGCAAGCUAUGCAAAGAGUGACUUGCUGAACAGAAGACUGUAAGGUAGGAUUAGAGGCUCUGCUUAAGAGAAACUCUGCUUCAGCCUAGAGAACAAUCCCACCACAAAAUAAAAUUAACUUUAAAAGUAAUGAGAUUUUCCACUGUUAACUUAAUAGCAGCAAACCACAUGUUCUAAACAAUGUUUUAAUUUUUUUUUUUUUUUGUAUAAGGACUCAUUUUUAGUAACAAACCCCAGACUAUUAGCCCUGCCAUUUUUCCACUGCUGGAGGAAAACGUGGACUCUUGCUGAGUCGUA
Aquila chrysaetos chrysaetos is the source of this 6320-nucleotide long non-coding RNA. RefSeq lists it as uncharacterized. NCBI's taxonomy places the organism in Eukaryota, Metazoa, Chordata, Aves, Accipitriformes, Accipitridae. The transcript is spliced from 3 exons. The record is from RefSeq and is a predicted model, not a curated record.